Long non-coding RNA from Peromyscus leucopus (white-footed mouse), 843 nucleotides. RefSeq lists it as uncharacterized. The record is from RefSeq and is a predicted model, not a curated record. The transcript is spliced from 3 exons. Lineage: Eukaryota; Metazoa; Chordata; Mammalia; Rodentia; Cricetidae.
CUCUCUCUUCCUCCCUUCUCCACUCUCCCCCUCCCCUCCUCUUCCCUUUCCUUACCAGGACAUAAGAAACAUGUUGGUGAUUAUUUUUUAAAGCCAAAUGCUUUCUUUCCACUGAAACCUAUGCAGAAACCCUGUGAUGACGAGGGAACUGAUGAGGCUGUAGACUAAGUUGGACUGUUAUGCUUGAUGGUGGCUGUGGGCCAAGCUCUCUGAGAUACACGUUAGAUGAUGGCCUCUCCUAACGUUUCUGAAGUAAUUGACCCAAGGAUGUAAGAAGUGAGGGUUGGUGAAAUCAAAGCCAGACAUAUGACUGUGGAAAGAGGAAGGAUGUCAAUCUGCUAAUCACUGAGAGACUGGAGUCGUGUGGACACCAUGGGAUGACAGCUGGAGUGACUCCAGAUCCACCUGACCCAGGAAGUGAUGCCACAUCCUGGGGCUUUGGGACACCAUCACACUGUACACAAUGGUAGGAACCAGAAUUCGGAUGCAAUGGAAGGGUGGGUUUCCCCCACAACCACAAGUCUCGGAGAACUUCAUUUCCCAGCUUGAUGGGUUCCUGUUCACUUCCAUCACUGAGUCAGAGGCUCCGGAUGAACACCUCUGCUGUACACGAGUCUUCUACCUACAAUGCCACCUGUGUUGGGAACAGUAGUCACCAAGCUACAUGGACAUACAGCUUGCAACUUCCUAUGGAAAAUAGUGUGAAUGGUCUCCUUUUAUAAAUUAUGUGUUGAAAUAGCAUUCUGGGACAUACUUAUUUGAAUAAGUACAGUAUCAUUUUGCAUUUACACAAUUAAAUGUGUGCCAUCUUACACUAUAUGCCAAUAAAAACAGCUUGUGCUA